UUCGUGAGAAACAAUCAAAGGAGUUUUUAUGGCAACUGGAGGACAUCAGACAGCGGUAUGAACAACAGGUGCUGGAGAAGUGUUUUGAAGUGUUAAAUGGGAAGAUAGCCGCAGGAGAUAGCACCUGCUUCCAGCCUUGCUUCAUCUAUCAGCUUGCUAAUCACAGCUGUACUUCCAGCCUUCUGCUCUCCCUGUAUCAUGAGCUUCGGGAGCUUCAGCAGGCAGUAGUCCUGGCUGUUGAUGGUCGGCUGGAGAGGAAAAGGAAUGAAGAAGCAGUGUAUGCUGGCAGGCCCUGGUACCAUCUCUAACAGCGGUUAUCACAGCAACAUUAAACUUUUAAAUAAGGAGAACGUCCAUGCGUAAACUCAACUGUUGAUUGACAGAUUUCAUGGAUGGCCCUUUUUGUUGUAGCAAAUAUCUAAUCUGGGAGCCACAUGGCCAUCCCCAAAUGACACAUUCUAUUUCUGUUCUUGACACACUGCCUGCUUUUUAUAAUUUUUUUGUGCCUAUUUCUAUUAAAGUGUUCAGAAAGUAAGA
Molecule: small RNA, 537 nt
Filed under: Pongo abelii (Sumatran orangutan)
Lineage: Eukaryota; Metazoa; Chordata; Mammalia; Primates; Hominidae
Description: processed transcript
Source: RNAcentral